RNAcentral lists this ribosomal RNA (466 nucleotides) under uncultured bacterium. RNAcentral's name for it is "partial 16S ribosomal RNA". It matches the Rfam family "Bacterial small subunit ribosomal RNA", at positions 28 to 507 of the family's 1533-position model. The record is from RNAcentral.
GAUGAACGCUGGCGGCGUGCUUAACACAUGCAAGUCGAACGAUGAAGCCCAGCUUGCUGGGUGGAUUAGUGGCGAACGGGUGAGUAACACGUGAGUAACCUGCCCUUGACUCUGGGAUAAGCCUGGGAAACUGGGUCUAAUACUGGAUAUGACUUCUCAUCGCAUGGUGGGGGGUGGAAAGAUUUAUUGGUCUUGGAUGGACUCGCGGCCUAUCAGCUUGUUGGUGAGGUAAUGGCUCACCAUGGCGACGACGGGUAGCCGGCCUGAGAGGGUGACCGGCCACACUGGGACUGAGACACGGCCCAGACUCCUACGGGAGGCAGCAGUGGGGAAUAUUGCACAAUGGGCGCAAGCCUGAUGCAGCGACGCCGCGUGAGGGAUGACGGCCUUCGGGCUGUAAACCUCUUUCAGUAGGGAAGAAGCGAGAGUGACGGUACCUGCAGAAGAAGCGCCGGCUAACUACGUG